AUACGUAGGUGGCAAGCGUUGUCCGGAAUCAUUGGGCGUAAAGAGCAUGUAGGCGGGCUUUUAAGUCCGACGUGAAAAUGCGGGGCUUAACCCCGUAUGGCGUUGGAAACUGGAAGUCUUGAGUGCAGGAGAGGAAAGGGGAAUUCCCAGUGUAGCGGUGAAAUGCGUAGAUAUUGGGAGGAACACCAGUGGCGAAGGCGCCUUUCUGGACUGUGUCUGACGCUGAGAUGCGAAAGCCAGGGUAGCAAACGGGAUUAGAUACCCCGGUAGUCCUGGCCGUAAACGAUGGGUACUAGGUGUAGGAGGUAUCGACCCCUUCUGUGCCGGAGUUAACGCAAUAAGUACCCCGCCUGGGGACUACGAUCGCAAGAUUGAA
This 376-nucleotide ribosomal RNA is filed under the name uncultured bacterium. Its description in RNAcentral is "bacterial SSU rRNA". It matches the Rfam family "Bacterial small subunit ribosomal RNA", at positions 523 to 898 of the family's 1533-position model. The record is from RNAcentral.